This 1345-nucleotide ribosomal RNA is filed under the name uncultured bacterium. RNAcentral's name for it is "partial 16S ribosomal RNA". It matches the Rfam family "Bacterial small subunit ribosomal RNA", at positions 28 to 1363 of the family's 1533-position model. The record is from RNAcentral.
GAUGAACGCUAGCGACAGGCUUAACACAUGCAAGUCGAGGGGCAGCGGGGGCGUAGCAAUAUGCCUGCCGGCGACCGGCGCACGGGUGAGUAACACGUAUGUAACCUGCCCUAUGCAGGGGGAUAACCCGGAGAAAUCCGGCCUAAUACCGCGUAACACCUUUGGGGAGCAUUCCCUUGGGGUUAAAGGAGAGAUCCGGCAUAGGAUGGACAUGCGUCGCAUUAGGUAGACGGCGGGGUAACGGCCCACCGUGCCGACGAUGCGUAGGGGUUCUGAGAGGAAGGCCCCCCACACUGGUACUGAGACACGGACCAGACUCCUACGGGAGGCAGCAGUGAGGAAUAUUGGUCAAUGGCCGAGAGGCUGAACCAGCCAAGUCGCGUGAGGGAAGAAUGUCCUAAGGAUUGUAAACCUCUUUUGUCGGGGAGCAAAAAGGCUCUGCGGAGUCGUAUUGAGAGUACCCGAAGAAAAAGCAUCGGCUAACUCCGUGCCAGCAGCCGCGGUAAUACGGAGGAUGCGAGCGUUAUCCGGAUUUAUUGGGUUUAAAGGGUGCGCAGGCGGCGUGUCAAGCAAGCGGUAAAAUAGCGGGGCUCAACCCCGUCGAGCCGUUUGAACUGGCGCGCUUGAGUUCAGGCGAGGUAGGCGGAAUUCGUGGUGUAGCGGUGAAAUGCAUAGAUAUCACGAAGAACUCCGAUUGCGAAGGCAGCUUACCAGUCUGCGACUGACGCUCAGGCACGAAAGUGUGGGUAUCGAACAGGAUUAGAUACCCUGGUAGUCCACACAGUAAACGAUGAGCGCUAGGUGUCCGGGUCGCAUGAGACUUGGGUGCCCGAGCGAAAGCGUUAAGCGCUCCACCUGGGGAGUACGCCGGCAACGGUGAAACUCAAAGGAAUUGACGGGGGCCCGCACAAGCGGAGGAACAUGUGGUUUAAUUCGAUGAUACGCGAGGAACCUUACCCGGGCUCAAACGACUCAGGAAUAUAUUGGAAACGAUGUAGCCAGCAAUGGUCUGAGUCGAGGUGCUGCAUGGUUGUCGUCAGCUCGUGCCGUGAGGUGUCGGCUUAAGUGCCAUAACGAGCGCAACCCCUACCGCCAGUUGCCAACGGGUAAAGCCGGGAACUCUGGCGGGACUGCCGGCGCAAGCUGCGAGGAAGGCGGGGAUGACGUCAAAUCAGCACGGCCCUUACGUCCGGGGCGACACACGUGUUACAAUGGCAGGUACAGCGGGAAGCCACCUGGUGACAGGGAGCGGAACCCGAAAGCCUGUCUCAGUUCGGAUUGGAGUCUGCAACUCGACUCCAUGAAGCUGGAUUCGCUAGUAAUCGCGCAUCAGCCAUGGCGCGGU